GGAGAAUCUCCAUGGUAUGCUGA
This 23-nucleotide non-coding RNA is filed under the name Arabidopsis thaliana (thale cress). Lineage: Eukaryota; Viridiplantae; Streptophyta; Magnoliopsida; Brassicales; Brassicaceae. The record is from RNAcentral.